UCACAUAGAGAAAAGAAGAUAAACAAACAAGCAACAGUCAGCUUUUGUUCUUUUAUUCCUUCUGUAUUUGAUUUUUCUUUUGUUUUAUUAUUCAACAGUACAACUUAAAGAAAAUGAUUAUGAAGGCUAAAAAAUGGGAAAGGAAUAAACCGAAAGGAGUACAUCUGAAGGGAAAAAAAUGACAAAAACGUUUCAAAAAAUGCCGAUGGUGGGAAUGAAACUUAGCAUUAAAUUUAAAACGAAACAACAGAAUACAGAAAUGCAUUCGAAACCAAUUAGUGCUGAGCUGUUCAGAUGUUGAUCGACACAUUUGCAAUGGAGUUUCCGCAGUUUUCGUAUUUGAUGUAUUUAAUGUUCACUUUUACCGACUCAUUCAAAACAAAAGUUUACAACAUAACAUUUCUGUAUUCUAAAUAAAACAUGCUAAACAAUGUAAUGUAUCACGUGGAAUGGAAAUUGAUGUGUUUAUUGUUUUUUAAGUGAGUGUGAUAAUGUGUGUAUAAGUGUUUUUGAUUCCUUAAAUUAUGUAUGCGUAAAUCUCGUUGGAGACAUGAAGGUGUAUUUUGAUUUAUACUAGAUUUAAUACGAUUGGUUAAUUUAAGCAUUUUGGAUUGUGCGUAUUUGAAUUUAUAUGCCUAUUUUACUGAUAUCUGAGAUGCAUGAAUUGUACGUUUUUCGAAAAAAAAAGUUUUAAAUCCGUUGAAAAAGUUUUUCAUAACCAGUGCUGUUAAAUUUCAUAAAAAUCACGUGACUUUGUCAAUUAAAUACUGCUGUUAGGGUAUCUAUAAAUAUGGCUAAAUGUGUUAAGAAAAUAGGGUCGUAAAUCACUGAUAAGAAAGUUAUUUAGUGUCUUCAAUUAAAGUUAAACAACACGAUUGAGCCUCAAAUAAAUGAACUAGAAAAAAAAAGUUAAACAACUGUUUCUUUUUAAACCAGCAAAGGUAUAAUCUAUCUUCGCACACGAAUACAAAGCUUGAAGCAUCGUUUUCUAAGCUGAACAUAAUCAAAACACGUAAAUUUCGACUUUUAUGAAAAGCGACACGCUUGUUUUUGCUUUCUUCGAUAUUUUUGUCGUUAUAUACGUUAUUUAAAAGUGACCCACAAAAAACAAUUAGAAAUAACGUAUGGAAAACAAAAUAUUGGGACUGAAAAACACAAAAUUCGAUGAUGAAAAAUAGAAACCGGGCACUUCACAAUUGUUUGUAACCCCAGUAACACAUAUGGUAUAAUUGAGUAUUAUCAACUGAUGUAUGACCUAAACUAGUCAUAUAUAAGUUGAUAAUACUCAAUCAUAACAUGUGUGUUGCUUUCCCAAUGGAAACUGCGAACGUAUGGUUGCUUUUAGGUACUAUUUUGUAUUUUUCUUAGAAAUAUUUCUCCUAUUGCAGUGCUUAUUUUCAUUGGCGUAGGAACAGAGGGGGGCAGGGGGGCCUGGCCAGAAUCAUCCAGCCCCCCCCCCCCCCCAGAUUUUUUACCGGUAAUAAAAAAAUAUAAAAAAACAACCAAUUAACACGUAGCAAAAUCUUCUGAUUCAAUGUAACUCUGAAAAGAUUUUUGACAAUAACAAGUGUUGCGCAAAAUAGCGCAUCUCAAAUUUGAACAAGAAUUGCAAUAUUCAAUCUAACAGCUAGCAAUGUUAAGAAAUCUGUCCAGUAUAAAUAACUAUCAGAAGCCAAACUGCAUUGCUAAGAUGGAGGUGCGUGCAACUAGGAAUCAAUUGUUUUCCUACCAAUAGUCACCGAAUUUCUUUGUAGCUGAUCACAGACAAACAUGCUUGUCUUUUGUUCUGCUGAAAGAGUCGAUGUCUUCAAGCACAUUCCGCAAUCGCAACAAUGAGAAUACAAUAUGCAAACCCCUGUUCACUUGUCAAUGUGACGUUGUACUAGAUGCAUGUUGUACUAGAUUCUCUAUGUUUGUCUGUGAUGCCUAUACGUGCUGUAAAAUAGAGUAAGUCAUAAAAUUGUACGAACGAGAACAAAAUGCAGCACGGGCGUGUUAGAAAUAUACUCUAAUACGGGAAAACACCGAAAUUGUGAGUACCCAUUUAGCUUUCAGUAUAACAAAUUUAUACCUAUUCUAAUGAAUAAAUGUUAGCUUUUUACCAUGUGACAGAUAAAUAAAUUUCUGGUUUAUUUGUCCUGCUGUAAGAUCGGUGCCCAUCGCUCUUGUUCUCAACAACAAGAGUAAUGGUUAUUGACAAAUAUCUCUUCAGUAAUUACGUUUUUUAUGUUGUACAACUGAAGUGAGGAAACCUCUAUUGUUUCACAUAUCAUCAGCGUGGCGGCUUCGUGUGACAACCGAUAGCUUAACCGUUGCUGUCGAUCGAAUGGUUCAUGUUGAAAAUAACCGUUGCAAAAAAUACCCUGGUACAAUAAAAAGGGUCAAUAUCCUGGAAAUUCGAUUCCCAAAAUUCGUUCUAAAUCCAAAUAAUACUGUUUCAGCAUAAAGCAGCAAGCUCCCUGCAUUCUGAUUUAUUAUGUUUUUGGAGGAUAACCUGCUCGAGGUGUCCAGUAAUGAGAAUUUACUAAAGAAAUCCAUAUAUUAACUUCAACUCGUAUAAUGUCCGAAAACAAUUAUUGAAAAAAAAAACAGACAGAAUUGCUAAAGGAAUUUCUAAGACAAUAAAUAGCGAAAUUUUU
Molecule: long non-coding RNA, 2639 nt
Organism: Aedes aegypti (yellow fever mosquito)
Lineage: Eukaryota; Metazoa; Arthropoda; Insecta; Diptera; Culicidae
Exons: 2
Source: RefSeq, a predicted model, not a curated record